This 465-nucleotide ribosomal RNA is filed under the name uncultured bacterium. RNAcentral's name for it is "partial 16S ribosomal RNA". It matches the Rfam family "Bacterial small subunit ribosomal RNA", at positions 338 to 795 of the family's 1533-position model. The record is from RNAcentral.
CCUACGGGUGGCAGCAGUGGGGAAUAUUGCACAAUGGGCGCAAGCCUGACGCAGCGACGCCGCGUGAGUGAUGAAGGUCUUCGGAUCGUAAACCUCUGUCAGCAGGGAGGAACGUUCAGUGUGCUAAUCAGCAGUGAAUUGACGGUACCUGCAAAAGAAGCACCGGCUAACUCCGUGCCAGCAGCCGCGGUAAUACGGAGGGUGCGAGCGUUAAUCGGAAUUACUGGGCGUAAAGCGCUCGCAGGCGGUAUGUCAAGUCAAGGGUGAAAUCCCCGCGCUCAACCUGGGAACUGCCUUUGACACUGGCAAACUUGAGUGUGGUAGAGGAUAGUGGAAUUCCAGGUGUAGGAGUGAAAUGCGUAGAGAUCUGGAGGAAUAUCAGUGGCGAAGGCGACCCUCUGGAACAUAACUGACGCUGAGGAGCGAAAGCGUGGGUAGCAAACAGGAUUAGAUACCCCGGUAGUC